Molecule: long non-coding RNA, 163 nt
Filed under: Fukomys damarensis (Damara mole-rat)
Lineage: Eukaryota; Metazoa; Chordata; Mammalia; Rodentia; Bathyergidae
Description: lncRNA (ENSFDAG00000028696.1)
Source: RNAcentral
AAAGGCUCGGGCUCCUCUUCCUGCUAGAGAUAAAGCCCCCUGACUGCCCUCAUGGCUUUCUACCAUUUCCACAAAGGUGUGGCUGCUUCGGACAACUGCAGUGCCUCCGUGCCAGUGAAAGCACAAGGUUUGUAAUAAAUUUUAACAAAUUUACUCCAUCCAG